This is a transfer RNA of Toxocara canis (dog roundworm), 71 nucleotides long. It matches the Rfam family "tRNA". From Rfam's summary of the family: Transfer RNA (tRNA) molecules are approximately 80 nucleotides in length. The record is from Rfam. Lineage: Eukaryota; Metazoa; Nematoda; Chromadorea; Rhabditida; Toxocaridae.
GCGGCAAUAGCUCAGUGGUGGAGCCCCACUUCGCAUGCGGGGAGACCCGGGUUCGAUCCCCGGCUGCUUCC